This 462-nucleotide long non-coding RNA is filed under the name Gallus gallus (chicken). RNAcentral describes it as "long non-coding RNA NONGGAT004393". Lineage: Eukaryota; Metazoa; Chordata; Aves; Galliformes; Phasianidae. The record is from RNAcentral.
GUAGCAAAGGACCUCUGUGUGUCUCCCUUCCUUGGUGGUUGCCCCCCAUAAGCGCUAACGACCUACCCGUCAGCUGCCAGGCCCUGCGUGACCACCCUUCUCAUCUCAGCCACCAGCUGAUCCCCAGUCACUCCGCUGAGGUAUUGAUUUGAGCAGCCUUGGCUAUCUUUAUUAAGUGCAUUUUAGGUGCACAGAAAACACCACGGAGCAUUUCAAAUCCCCAGUACGUCGCACAGAGGCAGUGUUUGUAAUACACUGCUCACUGCUUCCAUGAGCUGGACAACCCUCAUACGCUAUGGGCCAAAUCGUACCCUUGGAUGAGUAUGCCUGAUUCCCACUGCUGUCAGUGUUGCUGUCAUUGAAAUCUGUGGGAGUUCAGCUUGUGCAUCCAAAGGGAAAUCUGGCCUAAAAUCUAUUGUGCUCAUACUCCUCCUCCUUCGAUAUUUCUUGUUUGCCCGACUC